This 474-nucleotide ribosomal RNA is filed under the name uncultured organism. RNAcentral's name for it is "partial 16S ribosomal RNA". It matches the Rfam family "Bacterial small subunit ribosomal RNA", at positions 334 to 799 of the family's 1533-position model. The record is from RNAcentral.
CACUCCUACGGGAGGCAGCAGUGGGGAAUUUUGGACAAUGGGCGAAAGCCUGAUCCAGCAAUGCCGCGUGAGUGAAGAAGGCCUUCGGGUUGUAAAGCUCUUUUGUCAGGGAAGAAACGGUGAGAGCUAAUAUCUCUUGCUAAUGACGGUACCUGAAGAAUAAGCACCGGCUAACUACGUGCCAGCAGCCGCGGUAAUACGUAGGGUGCAAGCGUUAAUCGGAAUUACUGGGCGUAAAGCGUGCGCAGGCGGUUUUGUAAGUCUGAUGUGAAAUCCCCGGGCUCAACCUGGGAAUUGCAUUGGAGACUGCAAGGCUAGAAUCUGGCAGAGGGGGGUAGAAUUCCACGUGUAGCAGUGAAAUGCGUAGAUAUGUGGAGGAACACCGAUGGCGAAGGCAGCCCCCUGGGUCAAGAUUGACGCUCAUGCACGAAAGCGUGGGGAGCAAACAGGAUUAGAUACCCGGGUAGUCCCAUG